UACGAAGGGGGCUAGCGUUGUUCGGAAUUACUGGGCGUAAAGCGUGCGCAGGCGGCUUCUCAAGUCAGGGGUGAAAGCCCAGAGCUCAACUCUGGAAUUGCCUUUGAGACUGAGUGGCUUGAGUACGAGAGAGGUGAGUGGAAUUCCCAGUGUAGAGGUGAAAUUCGUAGAUAUUGGGAAGAACACCGGUGGCGAAGGCGGCUCUCUGGACCGAGACUGACGCUGAGGCACGAAAGCGUGGGGAGCAAACAGG
Molecule: ribosomal RNA, 253 nt
Filed under: uncultured bacterium
Lineage: Bacteria
Description: partial 16S ribosomal RNA
Rfam family: Bacterial small subunit ribosomal RNA
Source: RNAcentral